RNAcentral lists this long non-coding RNA (580 nucleotides) under Gossypium barbadense (sea-island cotton). RNAcentral describes it as "long non-coding RNA (GBAR_LNC003294)". The record is from RNAcentral. Lineage: Eukaryota; Viridiplantae; Streptophyta; Magnoliopsida; Malvales; Malvaceae.
UAAUACCUCAAUUUUGCCCGGCCCAUUGGAAGCCAAGGCAUAAUCCAAAAUUUCAAAAUAUAAAGUCUCUUAACAGUCCUUUAGCCAAAUACAAAAGCCUAAACGGCAGACCCAAAUACAAGAGACCUUACCCUGUUACAAUAACCAGCAGGCCCACUAUUACAUCCUACCCAGAUACACUAAAACUAAGACCCAUUACAACAGACCCAAGUGGACCCAGGACAAAACGGGCCCAAGUGGCCCAGUUUGUUACACCAAGGCAUGAAACCCUAGGGUUUCUGCCUUUCUCCUUGCGCCGCAAACAGAAGGUUCCAGAAGCCAAGCCUCAUGACUCUUCAGCUCCUACUGUUCUAGCUACCCCGUCAAGGUCAUGAUUCUAGGCCCAAGUCACGCCGAGAUCAACGCCACCAGUGGACCAUCGUCAGGCCUUUGUCAUUGCCGGAUUUUUCGCAAGUACCUGCAAGAAAAGGAAAGAAAAUCACAGCACACAUGCGAAGCAAAUACGGAAAGAAAUCGAAGAUUUCUUUCCAAAACUUGUAGUAGUAGAGGCUAUAAAGCCUUCUUUUUAAUCUAUAAAAAC